This is a transfer RNA of Coniochaeta ligniaria NRRL 30616, 90 nucleotides long. It matches the Rfam family "tRNA". From Rfam's summary of the family: Transfer RNA (tRNA) molecules are approximately 80 nucleotides in length. Their secondary structure includes four short double-helical elements and three loops (D, anti-codon, and T loops). The record is from Rfam. NCBI's taxonomy places the organism in Eukaryota, Fungi, Ascomycota, Sordariomycetes, Coniochaetales, Coniochaetaceae.
GGGGGUGUAGUCUAGACGUUAUGACGUCCCCUUCGCAGGUUGUUGCAUCCCAAUAGGGGAAGGUCCCGGGUUCAAAUCCCGGCUCCUCCA